Molecule: long non-coding RNA, 1273 nt
Filed under: Homo sapiens (human)
Lineage: Eukaryota; Metazoa; Chordata; Mammalia; Primates; Hominidae
Description: mir-99a-let-7c cluster host gene
Source: RNAcentral
GUCUAGGGGAGAGCCUGUAGGUACUCCAUUGUCUGGUAAAGUUCAUAUGACUGCAUUCUUUUUGCAAGGGGGGUGGAGGGAGAGCGGGGAAGGAGGGGGUGUCAGCUCAACUGUAAAAGCUGCACAGAUUUUUUUUCUUUCUCUCUCUCUGCCUCUCCAUAGAUUGUUUCUGUUUCAUGCCCUGUCUCAUUUCGCAUAGCUAAAAAAGAAUGCUAAUUAAGAUCCCUUGUCUUAACCUGAAAAAUAAUGACUCGGCUGUAAUUAGAAAUCUGGUGAGAGUUUAAAAAUUCUGGUAGGGGACCAAAAACAUCAGUUACGGUGCUUAGGAAGAAAAUGAAGAAUUAUUUUUCUGAAAUCAAGAUGGAUCUGAGAACGCUGUCUGGGCUUGGUACCAAGAGCUGGUAUUUCACAGCAGCGACCGCCUCACAGACGAGCUGUGGGAAGCAGGAGGGAGACUCUCUCUUAGGGUGCCACUACUAUGGAGACACAGCUGGGCUGAACAAGAUUUGCUUCAAACGACAACAAGAGAGACAGAAAGUAUCUGGUUCAACCGCUGCCCGAGCAGGCAGGCACCAGAAGAGCUAGCAGCCAAUCCGGCCAUGCUCGAAGCCAGCUCUGCAGCUCAGCCAAUCAGUGACAUCAUUGCUUUCUUUAGCUUGCCCAUGGUGAUGUGAAGAUGAGAAGAAAUAGCAAGGCCCAACCAGUUCUUCAUCUGGAGACAGUUCAACGUUCUGCAAACCAGAUCUUCAGGAAUUUUACUGGGAUAAUUAUCCAAAUAAAUUGCAAGCAUUCUAUCCAAAUGGAGCUCUUUCUGAGAUGAAGAGAAUUCUCAAUGUCAAGAUUUGAACAAGAAGAGAAUGGAAUACACAAUAUGGACAUCCAUAAAAAUUCAUCAGAGAGCAUUUUACUACUGAGCUGCAAAGGGAAAAACUUAAAAUGGAUAUGAAAAGUGAAGAAAGUGAUCAUAGGAGAAAACCAUUUCAGGUAAAAAUAAAAAACAAAGAGCAAAUAAGAUUUACUGUUUUUAAAGAAAAACAACAUUCUUUUGACUGUGUUUUGUUAUAAGAAUUAAUUUCAUAUUCUUUAUGAGUGUAACUGUUGAAAUUUUAUUGAUGGUUUUCAUUUGAAAAUGUGUGCUAUGACCUACCUUUGUGAAAAAUUUCUUGUGGUCAAUUGGGCAGUUUGUGUCCCAUUGAAUAUAUGUCUGUGUAUCCAUACGCUUAAGAUAGGUGCAAUACGGUUUACUAGAAAGCUUUAUAGGAAAAGAAAAAAA